CGAGGAAGGUAUCAAAAUUUUUAAAUAAAAAUUGUAAUACCCAAUUUUUGACCCGGGCCCAACUAAGCCUAAAGCUCAAACCCAUUACAAGCCCAAGUCACUAACCCAAAUCCCAGCCUAACCCUAAGCAGUGGCUAACAGCAGAUUGGCGCCGCAACAACUGCCCACGCCGUAGCAACCGUUCUACUGCCCACGUUGUGCUUGCACGACACACCUCCUUCACGUU
This 226-nucleotide long non-coding RNA is filed under the name Gossypium raimondii (Peruvian cotton). RNAcentral describes it as "long non-coding RNA (GRAI_LNC006305)". Lineage: Eukaryota; Viridiplantae; Streptophyta; Magnoliopsida; Malvales; Malvaceae. The record is from RNAcentral.